This 773-nucleotide ribosomal RNA is filed under the name uncultured Streptococcus sp. RNAcentral's name for it is "bacterial SSU rRNA". It matches the Rfam family "Bacterial small subunit ribosomal RNA", at positions 28 to 776 of the family's 1533-position model. The record is from RNAcentral. Lineage: Bacteria; Bacillati; Bacillota; Bacilli; Lactobacillales; Streptococcaceae.
GACGAACGCUGGCGGCGUGCCUAAUACAUGCAAGUAGAACGCACAGGAUGCACCGUAGUUUACUACACCGUAUCCUGUGAGUUGCGAACGGGUGAGUAACGCGUAGGUAACCUGCCUGGUAGCGGGGGAUAACUAUUGGAAACGAUAGCUAAUACCGCAUAAGAACAUUUACUGCAUGGUAGAUGUUUAAAAGGUGCAAGAGCAUCACUACCAGAUGGACCUGCGUUGUAUUAGCUAGUUGGUGAGGUAACGGCUCACCAAGGCAACGAUACAUAGCCGACCUGAGAGGGUGAUCGGCCACACUGGGACUGAGACACGGCCCAGACUCCUACGGGAGGCAGCAGUAGGGAAUCUUCGGCAAUGGGGGGAACCCUGACCGAGCAACGCCGCGUGAGUGAAGAAGGUUUUCGGAUCGUAAAGCCCUGUUGUUAAGGAAGAACGUGUGUGAGAGUGGAAAGUUCACACAGUGACGGUACUUAACCAGAAAGGGACGGCUAACUACGUGCCAGCAGCCGCGGUAAUACGUAGGUCCCGAGCGUUGUCCGGAUUUAUUGGGCGUAAAGCGAGCGCAGGCGGUUAGAUAAGUCUGAAGUGAAAGGCAGUGGCUCAACCAUUGUAGGCUUUGGAAACUGUUUAACUUGAGUGCAGAAGGGGAGAGUGGAAUUCCAUGUGUAGCGGCGAAAUGCGUAGAUAUAUGGAGGAACACCGGUGGCGAAAGCGGCUCUCUGGUCUGUAACUGACGCUGAGGCUCGAAAGCGUGGGGAGCGAACAGG